AGUGAACGCUGGCGGUAGGCCUAACACAUGCAAGUCGAACGGCAGCACAGUAAGAGCUUGCUCUUACGGGUGGCGAGUGGCGGACGGGUGAGGAAUACAUCGGAAUCUACUUUUUCGUGGGGGAUAACGUAGGGAAACUUACGCUAAUACCGCAUACGACCUACGGGUGAAAGCAGGGGAUCUUCGGACCUUGCGCGAUUGAAUGAGCCGAUGUCGGAUUAGCUAGUUGGCGGGGUAAAGGCCCACCAAGGCGACGAUCCGUAGCUGGUCUGAGAGGAUGAUCAGCCACAAUGGAAAUGAGACACGGUCCAGACUCCUACGGGAGGCAGCAGUGGGGAAUAUUGGACAAUGGGCGCAAGCCUGAUCCAGCCAUACCGCGUGGGUGAAGAAGGCCUUCGGGUUGGAAAGCCCUUUUGUUGGGAAAGAAAAGCAGCAGGUUAAUACCCCGCUGUUCUGACGGUACCCAAAGAAUAAGCACCGGCUAACUUCG
Molecule: ribosomal RNA, 490 nt
Filed under: uncultured bacterium
Lineage: Bacteria
Description: partial 16S ribosomal RNA
Rfam family: Bacterial small subunit ribosomal RNA
Source: RNAcentral